RNAcentral lists this ribosomal RNA (238 nucleotides) under uncultured Lactobacillus sp. RNAcentral's name for it is "partial 16S ribosomal RNA". It matches the Rfam family "Bacterial small subunit ribosomal RNA", at positions 125 to 354 of the family's 1533-position model. The record is from RNAcentral. Lineage: Bacteria; Bacillati; Bacillota; Bacilli; Lactobacillales; Lactobacillaceae.
CCUGCCCAAGAGAUCGGGAUAACACCUGGAAACAGAUGCUAAUACCGGAUAACAACAGAUGAUGCCUAUCAACUGUUUAAAAGAUGGUUCUGCUAUCACUCUUGGAUGGACCUGCGGUGCAUUAGCUAGUUGGUAGGGUAACGGCCUACCAAAGGCGAUGAUGCAUAGCCGAGUUGAGAGGCUGAUCGGCCACAUUGGGACUGAGACACGGCCCAAACUCCUACGGGAGGCAGCAGAC